CAGAGUUGCAAGACUCCCUAAACCAUGUGAACCUACCUUCUACCGUUGCUUCGGCGGGCGGGCCCAGCGCCCCCCCGGCCCCCCGCGGGCGCCCGCCGGAGGAUACCCAAACUCUUGACAUUAGUGGCCUCUCUGAGUAUUCUUUACUGAAUAAGUCA
Molecule: unclassified non-coding RNA, 158 nt
Filed under: soil metagenome
Description: partial internal transcribed spacer 1
Source: RNAcentral